CGACAAAUAAAAUCGCAAGUGCUAUCAAAACCAGCCCGGACAUUGGGAGCCAAAUCUUCCACAAAAACAUGUAGGGCAAGUUCCUUCGGCUCAUCAGCAGCGGCAACGGAAUUUUCCCCGGUCUUGGAAGUCACCAUCAUGUGCAAACAAGGAGGAGAAAAUCUGCAGCGUCACGGCGGCAAAUGUCAAAUCGAGAAGAUUGGGCAGACACGAGAAAAACAAGGGCCGGCCGGUGAUCUGCUCGGACGGGGUGGCCCCAUCUUAUCUAGGGAUUCGGCCAGGAGUCCAGGAGGAAUACAACUCGGACAGGAAGCGCCGCGCACGAAGAUGACCAGAACGAGGACUCCCAAGCGGCUCCGACUCGGACAGGCAAACGCCGCGCACGAAGAUGACCAGAACGAGAACUCCCAGGCGGCAAACAGAUCGAUCCAGAGGUAGUAGAUGUAGCAAAGAAUCGCCGUGAGAAACCCGACGAAUCUGAUACCAAGAUGAUAAGGAUCAACAUAAUCCGAAAGGGUUUUAGGCCCAAUCUUUCACAGCGAUCGACGAACAAGCAUAUCAGCAACCGAGCGAAAUCAAUCUGAAGUAAUCCAGAUCAAAUCCCUUCAAUUCCUCACGUUGGAACUGAUUAGAAUCAACUCCACCGCAGGGCAUAACAUCAGAUCUUCAAGAUCAACAAGCAAACACGACGGUAUGCACCCCUAAACAUUGGGACUUUUCUGAUCUAUUCUUAAUCUCGAAAAUUCAACUCCCUUAUAAUGUCGGCUGCCAAAAACCCUUUAUAGGACGGCUCUAACGCAACUUGGGUGGGACACGCCUCACAACUAAGGCCCAUAGGCUGAACUAAAAGUGGUUUUGGACAGACCCAAAAACCAUCAAACAAAAAUAAAGAAAACACUGCAAAUUUAAAUAAAUCUCAAACUCUAAAACGAAGUAAACUUCAAAACUGAUGGUGUUCUGAAAUUGGGCUUCACCUCAUCUUUCGGAGAAACUUGAACGCAAAAAGAUCCAAAACACAGAAUAUAUGAAGUUGGUGAAAUAGGCUGAACUAAAAGUGGUUUUGGACAGACCCAAAAACCAUCAAACAAAAAUAAAGAAAACACUGCAAAUUUAAAUAAAUCUCAAACUCUAAAACGAAGUAAACUUCAAAACUGAUGGUGUUCUGAAAUUGGGCUUCACCUCAUCUUUCGGAGAAACUUGAACGCAAAAAGAUCCAAAACACAGAAUAUAUGAAGUUGGUGAAAUAGCAUGAGUAAUAGACAUCUUCCCCUCGUCAAACUGCAAGUUCCGGUCCAAAGACUUUCGGCGGUGACGCUGUGAGCAGUAUCUAGCUAGGCAGCUAAGCUAGCCUACGGGUCCAACAAGCUAGGAGAUCGAAGAACGAUUCAACAAACUCAAGUGUAUACGUGUAUACAUACGUAGCCACCACCGAUUCAGAUCAACUCCCCCGUGUGUGGGAGAGACAACAAAAAAUAUUACCAGCAGAGAAUUUAACGACCA
RNAcentral lists this long non-coding RNA (1500 nucleotides) under Brachypodium distachyon (stiff brome). RNAcentral describes it as "long non-coding RNA (BDIS_LNC005614)". Lineage: Eukaryota; Viridiplantae; Streptophyta; Magnoliopsida; Poales; Poaceae. The record is from RNAcentral.